This 197-nucleotide long non-coding RNA is filed under the name Fukomys damarensis (Damara mole-rat). RNAcentral describes it as "lncRNA (ENSFDAG00000028434.1)". The record is from RNAcentral. Lineage: Eukaryota; Metazoa; Chordata; Mammalia; Rodentia; Bathyergidae.
GUUUCCAUGACGAAGUUUAUUCCCUUAAGGGACAUUCUCUCCCUAUCCUUACCUUGAUGAAUGUAUUUUUAAAGAAUUUACUGUGAGUUUCAAUGCUAAAAUUUCUUCCUAUAUGUAUCAUCCUAAAAUAGAGCCAUCCUGUGCAGUAUCUCACACCUGACCUCAAGUUGACCAACUUGACCAAAGUUCCACAGCCG